UACGUAGGCACCAAGCGUUGUCCGGAUUUAUUGGGCGUAAAGAGCUCGUAGGCGGUUCGGUAAGUCGGGUGUGAAAACUCUGGGCUCAACCCAGAGAGGCCACCCGAUACUGCCGUGACUGGAGUGCGGUAGGGGAGUGGGGAAUUCCUGGUGUAGCGGUGAAAUGCGCAGAUAUCAGGAGGAACACCAGUGGCGAAGGCGGGUCUCUGGGCCGAUACUGACGCUGAGGAGCGAAAGCGUGGGGAGCGAACAGG
RNAcentral lists this ribosomal RNA (254 nucleotides) under uncultured bacterium. Its description in RNAcentral is "partial 16S ribosomal RNA". It matches the Rfam family "Bacterial small subunit ribosomal RNA", at positions 524 to 776 of the family's 1533-position model. The record is from RNAcentral.